CAGCAGCCGCGGUAAUACGAAGGGUGCAAGCGUUACUCGGAAUUACUGGGCGUAAAGCGUGCGUAGGUGGUGGUUUAAGUCCGUUGUGAAAGCCCUGGGCUCAACCUGGGAAUUGCAGUGGAUACUGGGUCACUAGAGUGUGGUAGAGGAUAGUGGAAUUUCCGGUGUAGCAGUGAAAUGCGUAGAGAUCGGAAGGAACAUCUGUGGCGAAGGCGACUAUCUGGGCCAACACUGACACUGAGGCACGAAAGCGUGGGGAGCAAACUGGAUUAGAUACCCCCGUAGUCCCUGUCUCUUAUAC
RNAcentral lists this ribosomal RNA (301 nucleotides) under uncultured bacterium. RNAcentral describes it as "partial 16S ribosomal RNA". It matches the Rfam family "Bacterial small subunit ribosomal RNA", at positions 509 to 807 of the family's 1533-position model. The record is from RNAcentral.